RNAcentral lists this ribosomal RNA (507 nucleotides) under uncultured bacterium. RNAcentral describes it as "bacterial SSU rRNA". It matches the Rfam family "Bacterial small subunit ribosomal RNA", at positions 30 to 518 of the family's 1533-position model. The record is from RNAcentral.
AUUGAACGCUGGCGGCGUGCUUAACACAUGCAAGUCGAACGCGAAAGGGACUUCGGUCCUGAGUAAAGUGGCGGCACGGGUGAGUAACGCGUGGAUAAUCUGCCCUUAUGAUCGGGAUAACAGUUGGAAACGGCUGCUAAUACCGGAUACGCUCAAAAUGAACUUUUUGAGGAAAGAUGGCCUCUGCUUGCAUGCUAUCACGUAAGGAUGAGUCCGCGUCCCAUUAGCUUGUUGGCGGGUAACGGCCCACCAAGGCAACGAUGGGUAGCCGAUUUGAGAGGAUGAUCGGCCACACUGGAACUGAAACACGGUCCAGACUCCUACGGGAGGCAGCAGUGGGGAAUAUUGCGCAAUGGGCGAAAGCCUGACGCAGCGACGCCGCGUGAGGGAUGAAGGUUUUCGGAUCGUAAACCUCUGUCAGAAGGGAAGAAACUACGUUGUGCUAAUCAGCAGCGUACUGACGGUACCUUCAAAGGAAGCACCGGCUAACUCCGUGCCAGCCGCUGC